This 628-nucleotide ribosomal RNA is filed under the name uncultured bacterium. RNAcentral's name for it is "bacterial SSU rRNA". It matches the Rfam family "Bacterial small subunit ribosomal RNA", at positions 816 to 1443 of the family's 1533-position model. The record is from RNAcentral.
CUUGGAGGUUGUGGCCUUGAGCCGUGGCUUUCGGAGCUAACGCGUUAAGUAGACCGCCUGGGGAGUACGGUCGCAAGAUUAAAACUCAAAUGAAUUGACGGGGGCCCGCACAAGCGGUGGAGCAUGUGGUUUAAUUCGAUGCAACGCGAAGAACCUUACCUACUCUUGACAUCCAGAGAACUUUCCAGAGAUGGAUUGGUGCCUUCGGGAACUCUGAGACAGGUGCUGCAUGGCUGUCGUCAGCUCGUGUUGUGAAAUGUUGGGUUAAGUCCCGCAACGAGCGCAACCCUUAUCCUUGUUUGCCAGCGAGUCAUGUCGGGAACUCCAGGGAGACUGCCGGUGAUAAACCGGAGGAAGGUGGGGACGACGUCAAGUCAUCAUGGCCCUUACGAGUAGGGCUACACACGUGCUACAAUGGCGCAUACAGAGGGCGGCCAACUUGCGAAAGUGAGCGAAUCCCAAAAAGUGCGUCGUAGUCCGGAUCGGAGUCUGCAACUCGACUCCGUGAAGUCGGAAUCGCUAGUAAUCGUGGAUCAGAAUGCCACGGUGAAUACGUUCCCGGGCCUUGUACACACCGCCCGUCACACCAUGGGAGUGGGCUGCAAAAGAAGUGGGUAGUUUAACUUCG